This 583-nucleotide ribosomal RNA is filed under the name uncultured bacterium. RNAcentral's name for it is "partial 16S ribosomal RNA". It matches the Rfam family "Bacterial small subunit ribosomal RNA", at positions 354 to 932 of the family's 1533-position model. The record is from RNAcentral.
UGGGGGAAUAUUGGACAAUGGGGGCAACCCUGAUCCAGCCAUGCCGCGUGUGUGAAGAAGGCCUUUUGGUUGUAAAGCACUUUAAGCAGGGAGGAGAGGCUAAUGGUUAAUACCCAUUAGAUUAGACGUUACCUGCAGAAUAAGCACCGGCUAACUCUGUGCCAGCAGCCGCGGUAAUACAGAGGGUGCGAGCGUUAAUCGGAAUUACUGGGCGUAAAGCGAGUGUAGGUGGCUCAUUAAGUCACAUGUGAAAUCCCCGGGCUUAACCUGGGAACUGCAUGUGAUACUGGUGGUGCUAGAAUAUGUGAGAGGGAAGUAGAAUUCCAGGUGUAGCGGUGAAAUGCGUAGAGAUCUGGAGGAAUACCGAUGGCGAAGGCAGCUUCCUGGCAUAAUAUUGACACUGAGAUUCGAAAGCGUGGGUAGCAAAACAGGAUUAGAUACCCUGGUAGUCCACGCCGUAAACGAUGUCUACUAGCCGUUGGGGUCCUUGAGACUUUAGUGGCGCAGUUAACGCGAUAAGUAGACCGCCUGGGGAGUACGGCCGCAAGGUUAAAACUCAAAUGAAUUGACGGGGUCAUAGCUG